AGCACUGUGGCGCAGAGGUCAGCGCGUCGGACUCAUUAUCCGAAGGGCGUCGGUUCGAAUCCGACCAGUGCCUCCA
RNAcentral lists this transfer RNA (76 nucleotides) under Ruficoccus sp. ZRK36. RNAcentral describes it as "tRNA-Met". It matches the Rfam family "tRNA". From Rfam's summary of the family: Transfer RNA (tRNA) molecules are approximately 80 nucleotides in length. Their secondary structure includes four short double-helical elements and three loops (D, anti-codon, and T loops). Further hydrogen bonds mediate the characteristic L-shaped molecular structure. tRNAs have two regions of fundamental functional importance: the anti-codon, which is responsible for specific mRNA codon recognition, and the 3' end, to which the tRNAs corresponding amino acid is attached (by aminoacyl-tRNA synthetases). tRNAs cope with the degeneracy of the genetic code in two manners: having more than one tRNA (with a specific anti-codon) for a particular amino acid; and 'wobble' base-pairing, i.e. permitting non-standard base-pairing at the 3rd anti-codon position. The record is from RNAcentral. Lineage: Bacteria; Pseudomonadati; Verrucomicrobiota; Opitutia; Puniceicoccales; Cerasicoccaceae.